GUCCACGCCCUAAACGAUGUGUGCUAGUUGUUGGAGGUUCAGCCUUCAGUGACGCAGCUAACGCGUUAAGCACACCGCCUGGGGAGUACGGCCGCAAGGUUAAAACUCAAAGAAAUUGACGGGGACCCGCACAAGCGGUGGAGCAUGUGGUUUAAUUCGAAGCAACGCGAAGAACCUUACCAACCCUUGACAUCCUUAUCGCGGAUCGCAGAGAUGCUUUCCUUCAGUUCGGCUGGAUAAGUGACAGGUGCUGCACGGCU
Molecule: ribosomal RNA, 260 nt
Filed under: uncultured bacterium
Lineage: Bacteria
Description: partial 16S ribosomal RNA
Rfam family: Bacterial small subunit ribosomal RNA
Source: RNAcentral